AGGAUGAACGCUGGCGGUCUGCUUAACACAUGCAAGUCGAACGGAGUAGCAAUACUUAGUGGCGGACGGGUGAGUAACGCGUGAGAAUCUACCUUCAGGACGGAGACAACAGUUGGAAACGACUGCUAACCCCCGAUGUACUGAAAAGGCAAAUAUUUAUAGCCUGAAGAAGAGCUCGCGUCCGAUUAGCUAGUUGGAGAGGUAAAAGCUCACCAAGGCGACGAUCGGUAGCUGGUCUGAGAGGACGAUCAGCCACACUGGGACUGAGACACGGCCCAGACUCCUACGGGAGGCAGCAGUGGGGAAUUUUCCGCAAUGGGCGAAAGCCUGACGGAGCAAGACCGCGUGGGGGAAGAAGGCUCUUGGGGUUGUAAACCCCCUUUUCUCUGGGAAGAACACAAUGACGGUACCAGAGGAAUCAGCAUCGGCUAACUCCGUGCCAGCAGCCGC
RNAcentral lists this ribosomal RNA (450 nucleotides) under uncultured bacterium. RNAcentral describes it as "SSU rRNA". It matches the Rfam family "Bacterial small subunit ribosomal RNA", at positions 26 to 518 of the family's 1533-position model. The record is from RNAcentral.